This 290-nucleotide ribosomal RNA is filed under the name uncultured Synechococcus sp. Its description in RNAcentral is "partial 16S ribosomal RNA". It matches the Rfam family "Bacterial small subunit ribosomal RNA", at positions 530 to 828 of the family's 1533-position model. The record is from RNAcentral. Lineage: Bacteria; Bacillati; Cyanobacteriota; Cyanophyceae; Synechococcales; Synechococcaceae.
GGAUGCAAGCGUUGUCCGGAUUUAUUGGGCGUAAAGAGUUCGUAGGCGGUUAGUUAAGUCUGGUGUUAAAUCCCGUGGCCCAACCACGGAGCUGCAUCAGAUACUGGCUAACUUGAGUGCGGUAGAGGCGAGUGGAAUUCCCAGUGUAGCGGUGAAAUGCGUAGAUAUUGGGAAGAACACCAGUGGCGUAAGCGACUCGCUGGGCCGUAACUGACGCUGAGGAACGAAAGCCAGGGGAGCGAAAGGGAUUAGAUACCCCAGUAGUCGGCGGGGGCGGCGGGACGGGCGCG